UACGUAUGGGGCAAGCGUUAUCCGGAUUUACUGGGUGUAAAGGGAGCGUAGGCGGCGGGGCAAGCCUGAUGUGAAAGCCCGGGGCUCAACCCCGGGACUGCAUUGGGAACUGCCCUGCUGGAGUGCCGGAGGGGCAGGCGGAAUUCCAAGUGUAGCGGUGAAAUGCGUAGAUAUUAGGAGGAACACCAGUGGCGGAGGCGGCCUGCUGGACGGUGACUGACGCUGAGGCUCGAAAGCGUGGGGAGCAAACAGG
RNAcentral lists this ribosomal RNA (253 nucleotides) under uncultured bacterium. RNAcentral's name for it is "partial 16S ribosomal RNA". It matches the Rfam family "Bacterial small subunit ribosomal RNA", at positions 524 to 776 of the family's 1533-position model. The record is from RNAcentral.